RNAcentral lists this ribosomal RNA (336 nucleotides) under Phanocles costaricensis. Its description in RNAcentral is "partial 12S ribosomal RNA". Lineage: Eukaryota; Metazoa; Arthropoda; Insecta; Phasmatodea; Diapheromeridae. The record is from RNAcentral.
AAGUUCUUUAAACCUAAAGAAUUUGGCGGUGUUUUAGUCUGGUUAGAGGAACUUGUCCUUUAAUCGAUAAUCCUCGUUUUAUCUGGCUUAGUUUAUAUUUAUUGGUAUGUAUACCUCCGUUAUAGGUUUAUUUUUAUAGAAUAAAUUUACUUAAUAAUUAAUUUAUUAACAUUUCAGGUCAAGGUGCAGCUUAUAGCUAAGGGGAGAUGGGUUACAUUAUAUUAAUAAACGGAUUUUUGGUUGAAAUAUUUUAUUGAAGGUGGAUUUAAUAGUAAUUUAAUUUAUAGGGGUUAUUUGAAGCUAGCUCUAAGAUGAGUACACAUCGCCCGUCGCUCU